UUCCCCAAUGGGCAGAUGAAAAAGAAGGUCAUCGCCUAAUCCAUAUCGUACCAUGUUUGAAAAUUUUGGAAGUUUGGGAGGAUUUCAGACAAUAACGAUGGCCACAUUGGCAGCAUUUGAUAUGUCGAGCUAUAUGAUCAGAAAUUCGCAGUGAAAAGGAUAGCCAGAUAGACCCUACUACAGUAUUUUUUGCUUACCUGCACAAUCAAAAAUUGCACGACAUCUUGUGCAGCAAUGCCCAAAAUGCAGGUAGCUUAAUUGCAUUUAUCUGCACAAUGAAGCAGGUAUCUUUAAUUUUACUUACGUGCACAAAAAGUGCAGGUAUCUUUAAUUUUCUAUUCGUGCACAACAAAGCAGCAAUCGUUAUUUUACUUACGUACGUGUAAUAGCCAGCCAAAAUCAAUGAGAGGAAGCGAGAAUAUGUUUUUAAUGCAUGCUCUUUUCUUGUGUUGUUAUUGUUUUUGCGAAUACAAAAAUAAAAACGAAGUGGUAGUUAUUAGUGUCUUUUUGAGUUUGCAAAAAAUUUUCUUGUGCAGAUAAAUACAACUUUUGUAACCAAAUUAAAAAAAAUUACCAAAUUUUCGAGGCAGGAAUUUCUAAUGUGCAGCUAUCGAUUGGGCACUUAAAUACAAUUCAAAUAAAGGGAUUCAGAAAAAAAUGGCAUAAAAAAAGUUUUUUGGUCUGCAAAGGCCAAUGCGCAGCUAAUGUUGAUGCAGGUAAAUAGAAACCACUGUACACACUCAUCACUAUGUGAAGCUUUUCGCUGUUGGCAUAUUCUGUCAUAUUUGGUUUGAUUGAUGGCUUACAAGCGCCGUUCUAUGAAAAGUUGGAAUUUAUGGCCUCCACCGCAUUAAAACAAGUCCCCGAGUCAAUUAGCCAGCAUUGAAGCCCAUGUUUUUUUGUGGCUGCAGCAAAGAUUUUCUUCGUUCUCUGAAUGUUAACCUCUAAUACACACAAAAGUAGCUGAUACUUU
Musca domestica (house fly) is the source of this 973-nucleotide long non-coding RNA. RefSeq lists it as uncharacterized. Lineage: Eukaryota; Metazoa; Arthropoda; Insecta; Diptera; Muscidae. The transcript is spliced from 3 exons. The record is from RefSeq and is a predicted model, not a curated record.